This is a non-coding RNA of Parastrongyloides trichosuri, 46 nucleotides long. Lineage: Eukaryota; Metazoa; Nematoda; Chromadorea; Rhabditida; Strongyloididae. The record is from Rfam.
CCAAAGGCCCUCUUUAGGGCCACCAAAUAUAAAUUUUAUUCUUAUU